Molecule: non-coding RNA, 28 nt
Filed under: Rattus norvegicus (Norway rat)
Lineage: Eukaryota; Metazoa; Chordata; Mammalia; Rodentia; Muridae
Source: RNAcentral
AGUGAACAGGGCAACCAUGAGUCUGGAU